RNAcentral lists this ribosomal RNA (497 nucleotides) under uncultured bacterium. Its description in RNAcentral is "partial 16S ribosomal RNA". It matches the Rfam family "Bacterial small subunit ribosomal RNA", at positions 28 to 507 of the family's 1533-position model. The record is from RNAcentral.
GAUGAACGCUGGCGGCGUGCCUAAUACAUGCAAGUCGAGCGAACAGACGGGGAGCUUGCUCCUCUGACGUUAGCGGCGGACGGGUGAGUAACACGUGGAUAACCUACCUAUAAGACUGGGAUAACUUCGGGAAACCGGAGCUAAUACCGGAUAAUAUAUUGAACCGCAUGGUUCAAUAGUGAAAGACGGUUUUGCUGUCACUUAUAGAUGGACCCGCGCCGCAUUAGCUAGUUGGUAAGGUAACGGCUUACCAAGGCAACGAUGCGUAGCCGACCUGAGAGGGUGAUCGGCCACACUGGAACUGAGACACGGUCCAGACUCCUACGGGAGGCAGCAGUAGGGAAUCUUCCGCAAUGGGCGAAAGCCUGACGGAGCAACGCCGCGUGAGUGAUGAAGGUCUUCGGAUCGUAAAACUCUGUUAUUAGGGAAGAACAAAUGUGUAAGUAACUAUGCACGUCUUGACGGUACCUAAUCAGAAAGCCACGGCUAACUACGUG